RNAcentral lists this ribosomal RNA (429 nucleotides) under bacterium. RNAcentral's name for it is "partial 16S ribosomal RNA". It matches the Rfam family "Bacterial small subunit ribosomal RNA", at positions 355 to 776 of the family's 1533-position model. The record is from RNAcentral.
UAGGGAAUCUUCGGCAAUGGGGGCAACCCUGACCGAGCAACGCCGCGUGAGUGAAGAAGGUUUUCGGAUCGUAAAGCUCUGUUGUAAGAGAAGAACGUGUGUGAGAGUGGAAAGUUCACACAGUGACGGUAACUUACCAGAAAGGGACGGCUAACUACGUGCCAGCAGCCGCGGUAAUACGUAGGUCCCGAGCGUUGUCCGGAUUUAUUGGGCGUAAAGCGAGCUCAGGCGGUUUAAUAAGUCUGAAGUUAAAGGCAGUGGCUUAACCAUUGUUCGCUUUGGAAACUGUUAAACUUGAGUGCAGAAGGGGAGGGUGGAAUUCCAUGUGUAGCGGUGAAAUGCGUAGAUAUAUGGAGGAACACCGGUGGCGAAAGCGGCUCUCUGGUCUGUAACUGACGCUGAGGCUCGAAAGCGUGGGGAGCAAACAGG